This 69-nucleotide transfer RNA is filed under the name Melanocharis citreola (Satin berrypecker). RNAcentral describes it as "tRNA-Phe". The record is from RNAcentral. Lineage: Eukaryota; Metazoa; Chordata; Aves; Passeriformes; Melanocharitidae.
SUCUCCGUAGCUUAAAACAAAGCAUGACACUGAAGAUGUCAAGAUGGCUACUCAANANACCCGAAGACA